RNAcentral lists this ribosomal RNA (624 nucleotides) under uncultured bacterium. RNAcentral describes it as "bacterial SSU rRNA". It matches the Rfam family "Bacterial small subunit ribosomal RNA", at positions 65 to 735 of the family's 1533-position model. The record is from RNAcentral.
AACGAACCCUUCGGGGUGAGUGGCGCACGGGUGCGUAACACGUGGGAACCUGCCCUUAGGUUCGGAAUAACUCAGAGAAAUUUGAGCUAAUACCGGAUAAUGUCUUCGGACCAAAGAUUUAUCGCCUUUGGAUGGGCCCGCGUAGGAUUAGCUAGUUGGUGGGGUAAAGGCCUACCAAGGCGACGAUCCUUAGCUGGUCUGAGAGGAUGAUCAGCCACACUGGGACUGAGACACGGCCCAGACUCCUACGGGAGGCAGCAGUGGGGAAUAUUGGACAAUGGGCGAAAGCCUGAUCCAGCAAUGCCGCGUGAGUGAUGAAGGCCUUAGGGUUGUAAAGCUCUUUUACCAGGGAUGAUAAUGACAGUACCUGGAGAAUAAGCUCCGGCUAACUCCGUGCCAGCAGCCGCGGUAAUACGGAGGGAGCUAGCGUUGUUCGGAAUUACUGGGCGUAAAGCGCGCGUAGGCGGCUUUUCAAGUCAGGGGUGAAAUCCCGGGGCUCAACCCCGGAACUGCCCUUGAAACUGGAUGGCUAGAAUACUGGAGAGGUGAGUGGAAUUCCGAGUGUAGAGGUGAAAUUCGUAGAUAUUCGGAAGAACACCAGUGGCGAAGGCGACUCACUGGACA